RNAcentral lists this transfer RNA (76 nucleotides) under Campylobacterota bacterium. RNAcentral describes it as "Epsilonproteobacteria bacterium (hydrothermal vent metagenome) tRNA-Lys". It matches the Rfam family "tRNA". From Rfam's summary of the family: Transfer RNA (tRNA) molecules are approximately 80 nucleotides in length. Their secondary structure includes four short double-helical elements and three loops (D, anti-codon, and T loops). Lineage: Bacteria; Pseudomonadati; Campylobacterota. The record is from RNAcentral.
GGGUCGUUAGCUCAAUUGGUAGAGCACCGGACUCUUAAUCCGGGGGUUGUGGGUUCGAUUCCCACACGACCUACCA